This 1091-nucleotide small RNA is filed under the name Pan troglodytes (chimpanzee). RNAcentral's name for it is "retained intron". The record is from RNAcentral. Lineage: Eukaryota; Metazoa; Chordata; Mammalia; Primates; Hominidae.
UACUUUUUCCUACUCUUCUCUUCCUUUCAUUAAAGUAAUAAAAGAUAUAAGUUAAUUUAAAAAUACUAAAGAACUGAACCUUAUUCUUGACCUUUACAGACUACUAUUUUCUAACUGGCAGGCCCUAGCAUGUUUUUCAUUAUUGAUGUAAAACACAUAUUGAAGGAGGAUGGAAACAGACUGUGUCAAAGUUUAACACCCAAUUAUUUUAUUUACAUAAUUUUAUUAGGGGAUAGUGUUGUUGACUUGAAAAAUAUCUCUUCUGUUGUAAGAUUCAGCAGGGUCUUUAUCUUUUUAAAAGUAGCACAUUUUUUGUUUUCUUUAUUUUGCAGUAAACAUAAAAGAGAGCAAGAUAAUUCUCGAUCUUCAUCGUCUUCAGCAUCGCCUUCUUCUCCCAGUUCUCGAGAAGAAAAGGAGAGUAAGAAGGAAAGAGAAGAAGAAUUUAAAACUCACCAUGAAAUGAAAGAAUACUCAGGCUUUGCAGGAGUUAGCCGACCACGAGGAACCUUUCAUGACGACAGAGAUGAUGGUGUGGAUUAUUGGGCCAAAAGAGGAAGAGGUCGUGGUACUUUUCAACGUGGCAGAGGGCGCUUUAACUUCAAAAAAUCAGGUAGCAGUCCUAAAUGGACUCAUGACAAAUACCAAGGGGAUGGGAUUGUUGAAGAUGAAGAAGAGACCAUGGAAAAUAAUGAAGAAAAGAAGGACAGACGCAAGGAAGAAAAGGAAUAAUAAAUAUGAAGUAAGAUUACAACAGAGCAGAACUUGCACCCACCAUUUUUUUUACCUGAUUUUUGUUUUCAAAUAAGAAUGUAAGCAUUUUACUUAAAUUUUACUGUUUGCAAGUAGUCUAUAGAAAUUUUGUUUUAAGUCUUCAAAUAUCUUGAGAAAUAGUAGACUGUAUGUUGAAAAUUGUACUGAAAUAAAGUAGAAAAUUGUUACGUACCAUAUUUGUAACUAUCAACUUUUAAAACUUAACGUUUUUGUUACAUGCAUUGUAAUUCUGAUUUGUCUAUAAGAUAUGGUCAAGUACAGCUCUGUGAAAGUUCUGAUUCUCUUCCUUCCCUGUUUGUCAAUGUUUUAUUCUGAAGUAA